This 383-nucleotide unclassified non-coding RNA is filed under the name Tragopogon tuberosus. Its description in RNAcentral is "partial external transcribed spacer". The record is from RNAcentral. Lineage: Eukaryota; Viridiplantae; Streptophyta; Magnoliopsida; Asterales; Asteraceae.
AUGGUUGGAUGUAUGUUGCGCAGCAAGUUCCAUGCGGGCUUACCUAUUCAAUUGUGAUACAAGCCUUGUUUGGAUUGCAUCGUUCGGUGGGUUUCUUGUGUUGCUUACCUAAUCGAUGGCAUUGUUUGUCCCUAUAAGUUAGAUUUUGUAACACGUUGCUUGCGGCGUGAUACAAACGAUGAAGCAACCUUUGUUGUUCAACCUGUUGCUGCUCAUGCAUCAAUGGCUUGGCCCAUGAAGUGUUGAUUGGUCCUUUGGAUAUGGAACAUGAUGUGGGCACAAGUUCGUCAAAGAUCUUGAAUUUGCCCUUAUCGAGUGAUUUAGCUUCUUUAAAUGACCGUAGUCCAUGUAUCGACAAGUCGGUGUAUGGAGGAUUGUGUCAA